AUGCUCAUUCCGGCACAUGUAGGACUUGAGUGUGGACUCAUAGUUUCUUCUAUAUAUGUGAUACUUUUCUAUUUCUUUUGUUUUAUUUUUCAUAAUUUAUUCCUGGCAUUUUAGGAAUUUGCACUUGUUUUAGUGCAUCAUUGAUGUGUACACACACACACACACAUAUAUAGAUACACAAUUGAAAAUUUACUGAAAAUUUGCAGCUGUGGUCCACUCAAAGAAUAUAAAGUAGCCUUCAAAAUUAGGUGAGAAGCUAUAGGAGGUGGCCGGAUGUUGAUUCAGAAAACAUGGGAAUGUGGCUGUGGUUUUAGACAAGAAGAUGGAGGAAAAGAAGUCUUAUGGUCACAUCUUAUAAAGCAUUAACUUCAUUUAUUUUAAUUUUGGCAAUAUGCAUUAUGAACAGUGUGGUGAAGAUGAAUAAAAAUCAAGAAGUAAUUCUCUCAUUUAUACAGCCUCUUUUGCUAAGU
This 470-nucleotide long non-coding RNA is filed under the name Rosa chinensis. RNAcentral describes it as "sRNA RchiOBHm_Chr6g0247541". The record is from RNAcentral. Lineage: Eukaryota; Viridiplantae; Streptophyta; Magnoliopsida; Rosales; Rosaceae.